UGAAUACGAGAUGCUACGGCGUCGAAGCAGUCUAUGUCAUACUUCCAAGAAAAGCUCGCACUGUCAUAAACAAAUAAUGCCUGUACCAUAACCGACACAGGUGGGUAGGUAGAGUAUACUAAGGGGCGCGAGAUAACUCUCUCUAAGGAACUCGGCAAAAUGACUCCGUAGCUUCGGGAGAAGGAGUGCCUUAUUUAUAAGGUUGCAAUAACAAGAUCCAAGCAACUGUUUAUCAAAAACACAGGUCUCCGCUAAGUCGUAAGACGAUGUAUGGGGGCUGACGCCUGCCCAGUGCCAGAAGGUUAAAGAAGUUGGUUAGCAUUCGCGAAGCUGAUAACUGAAGCCCUGGUGAACGGCGGCCGUAACGAUAACGGUCCUAAGGUAGCGAAAUUCCUUGUCGGGUAAGUUCCGACCCGCACGAAAGGCGUAAUGAUUUGGAUACUGUCUCGGAGAGGGGCUCGGUGAAAUAGACUUGUCUGUGAAGAUGCGGACUACCUGCACCAGGACAGAAAGACCCUAUGAAGCUUUACUGUAACUUGAGAUUGAAAUUGGACUUUACUUGCGCAGUAUAGGUGGGAGGCGUUGAUAAUAUUCUUGCGGGAUUAUUUGAGCCAUCAGUGAGAUACCACCCUUGUAAUGUUAGAUUUCUAACUUUGUAUCAUUAUCUGGUCAAAGGACAGUUUCAGGCGGGCAGUUUGACUGGGGCGGUCGCCUCCUAAACGGUAACGGAGGCGCACAAAGGUUUCCUCUGAACGGGUAGAAAUCGUAUCUAGAGUGUAAAGGCAUAAGGAAGCUUGACUGUGAGACCUACAAGUCGAGCAGGGACGAAAGUCGGUCUUAGUGAUCUGACGGUGCUGAGUGGAAAGGCCGUCACUCAACGGAUAAAAGUUACUCUAGGAUAACAGGCUGAUCUCCCCCAAGAGUUCACAUCGACGGGGAGGUUUGGCACCUCGAUGUCGGCUCAUCGCAUCCUGGGGCGGUAGUACGUCCCAAGGGUUGGGCUGUUCGCCCAUGAAAGCGGUACGCGAGCUGGGUUCAGAACGUCGUGAGACAGUUCGGUCCAUAUCCGGUGUAGGCGUUAGAAUAUUGAGAGGAGCCUUCUUUAGUACGAGAGGACCGAGAAGGACAUACCCCUGGUGUACCAGUUAUCGUGCCAACGGUAAACGCUGGGUAGCUAUGUAUGGAGUGGAUAACCGCUGAAAGCAUCUAAGUGGGAAGCCCACCUCAAGAUAAGUAUUCUC
This 1241-nucleotide ribosomal RNA is filed under the name metagenome. RNAcentral's name for it is "bacterial LSU rRNA". It matches the Rfam family "Bacterial large subunit ribosomal RNA", at positions 1564 to 2815 of the family's 2925-position model. The record is from RNAcentral.